Molecule: long non-coding RNA, 936 nt
Filed under: Dasypus novemcinctus (nine-banded armadillo)
Lineage: Eukaryota; Metazoa; Chordata; Mammalia; Cingulata; Dasypodidae
Description: lncRNA (ENSDNOG00000051663.1)
Source: RNAcentral
CACCUGGAAGGGGGUUCCCGUCCCUACCGCAGAUGCCGCCCACUCAGCGCUCCUCGGGUUUCCUGUGCAGGGCUGUUUGGGAAUCAGGGCCUCUGGGUUUCCUGCAGGGAGACGACCCUCGGCUGAGACACCCCCCGCCCCCCCAGGCUGGCAUUGACCAGGAAGGGACUGCUGCCCACAAGGGUGCAGCCUCCCCUCACAGAGAGCUCCCAGGGGCACCCACUGGGGGAGGGGAGGCCCAGGCUGAGUCCUGAGAGGGGGGUCCAACCCGCAGGGAGGAAGUCAGGCCUCAGUCUCCCUCUCUGUCCCUGCAGAUGGUGCUUCUGCUGGGGUCAUCGCAGGCAUCGUGACGGGGGUCCUGGCUGGGCUGGCGCUGACUGCAGCCCUGGGGUGGUUCCUGCUGUGCAGGGACUCUGCAGGGUCCCCCUGCAUGACUCCAGGACAGACAUUCCCAUCUAUGAGGAACUUCGAAACUGUGACACAAACAUCUACUGUCGGAUCAACCCCAAAGCAGAAGUUACUCAAUACCUUCCCCAAGGAACUUGGGCAGCCGAGGGGAGGGGCCACGUGAGACCACAGAGCCUGGGAAGGAGCUGAGCCUGUGCCCGAGGUUCAGCUGGGUGCUCGGGGAGGGGGCAGGUCCCUCCUGGACUACUGGAGACCCGGAGAGGCCACUCUGAGCUCAGGCUCAGCCGGGACAAAAUCCUCCCAACCCACCCCUCUGGGCCACCCCACAUGGCCUGUGACCUGCCAUGGAUUACUUGGAAAGAAUUUGAAUAAAGAAGACCCUUCCUCUCAUUUGGUUCUUUUCUACUCAUGGGAAUGAAAUUAAUUCACCUGAAACUCUGUUUUCGUCUAGCUCACACUGUGAGGUAUUAUCUCUAAUUUGCCCCACUUCCACCCCUACACCCUGGCAGGAAGGAGUUGGGGGGGCAA